This 429-nucleotide ribosomal RNA is filed under the name uncultured archaeon. Its description in RNAcentral is "bacterial SSU rRNA". It matches the Rfam family "Archaeal small subunit ribosomal RNA", at positions 474 to 903 of the family's 1478-position model. The record is from RNAcentral.
CACCAGCCCCUCGAGUGGUGGGGAUGAUUAUUUGGCCUAAAGCGUCCGUAGCCGGCCGGGUAAGUUUCCCGUUAAAUCCAGCGUCUCAAGCGUUGGACUGCGGGAAAUACUGCCUGGCUAGAGAGUGGGAGAGGUCAGCGGUAUUCUGGGGGUAGGGGCGAAAUCCUUUGAUCCCCGGAGGACCACUAGUGGCGAAGGCUGCUGACUAGAACACGUCUGACGGUCAGGGACGAAAGCUGGGGUAGCGAACCGGAUUAGAUACCCGGGUAGUCCCAGCCGUAAACGAUGCAUGCUAGGUGUUGGGUUGGCCACGAGCCACCCCAGUGCCGCAGGGAAGCCGUUAAGCAUGCCGCCUGGGAAGUACGAUCGCAAGAUUGAAACUUAAAGGAAUUGGCGGGGGAGCACCACCAGGCGUGAAGCCUGCGGUUU